GGAGGUGUGGCUCAAGAGAGCAUCUGCCUACCAAGCAUGAGGCCCUGAGUUCAAAUCUCUUUACUGCCA
RNAcentral lists this transfer RNA (69 nucleotides) under Dipodomys ordii (Ord's kangaroo rat). It matches the Rfam family "tRNA". Rfam says of the family: Transfer RNA (tRNA) molecules are approximately 80 nucleotides in length. Their secondary structure includes four short double-helical elements and three loops (D, anti-codon, and T loops). Lineage: Eukaryota; Metazoa; Chordata; Mammalia; Rodentia; Heteromyidae. The record is from Rfam by way of RNAcentral.